ACCUUUUAUACUGCGUAUGAUGCAACAUGUCUUGACCGAAGAAAUAUUUUGGAAAAGCAUUCGCUUAUAUGUAAAUAGCACAAUCGCAUAAAGUUGGGAUUAAUCGGGGUACUUAAAAGAAUCAAAUAUGAAGAAAUUGAUGAUAGUAACGACCCUAAAACAUGUUUACGACAAGAAGCUGCAAGAUGAGCAUGUUUUCUCGGUGACAUCGCUUGUAAGAAAGAGGCCAACAUUAAAUUAAAACAACAUUGCGAACAAUCUAAAACAUACAGACUUAUGCCAUGGUAAAUGGAAUGGACAUAUUGUAAAGAUUUGAUGAUAACUACCGAAAAAGAGAAUACUUGGGAAAUUGUGUAUGUGAUAGGUUUGGAAAAAAAUGACACUAAAUUUUUAGAAUACUUGGCUUGCACUGAAGAUACUAAUCGCAUCAAAUCGUAUUUAACAUUAAAACAAAGUAUUUCUACAGAAGAUAAAUAUCCAAAUUCUUUUAACAGUUUCUUAUAUAUUAUUACAAAGCAUGCGAAGGAUCAAACUAUACUGGAGCACUUAUUAAGUUAUUUUAAAGAAAUAAAACCAAAGUAAUGUGCUAUAUUUUUAUAAAU
This is a long non-coding RNA of Nylanderia fulva, 602 nucleotides long. RefSeq lists it as uncharacterized. NCBI's taxonomy places the organism in Eukaryota, Metazoa, Arthropoda, Insecta, Hymenoptera, Formicidae. The record is from RefSeq and is a predicted model, not a curated record.